UUCCUACGGGUGGCAGCAGCUAAGAAUAUUCCGCAAUGGACGAAAGUCUGACGGAGCGACGCCGCGUGGAUGAAGAAGGCCGAAAGGUUGUAAAAUCCUUUUGUCGGGGAAGAAUAAGCCUGGGAGGGAAUGCCCGGGUGAUGACAUGAACCGGCGAAUAAGCCCCGGCUAACUACGUGCCAGCAGCCGCGGUAACACGUAGGGGGCGAGCGUUGUUCGGAAUUACUGGGCGUAAAGGGCAUGUAGGCGGUUUUGUAAGCCUGGCGUGAAAUUCUGCAGCUUAACUGUAGGACUUCGCUGGGAACUGCGAGACUGGAGUCACGGAGAGGGAGCCAGAAUUCCAGGUGUAGGGGUGAAAUCUGUAGAUAUCUGGAAGAAUACCAAUGGCGAAGGCAGGCUUCUGGCCGAUGACUGACGCUGAGGUGCGAAAGCGUGGGUAGCAAACAGGAUUAGAUACCCCGGUAGUCC
This 468-nucleotide ribosomal RNA is filed under the name uncultured Treponema sp. Its description in RNAcentral is "bacterial SSU rRNA". It matches the Rfam family "Bacterial small subunit ribosomal RNA", at positions 336 to 796 of the family's 1533-position model. Lineage: Bacteria; Pseudomonadati; Spirochaetota; Spirochaetia; Treponematales; Treponemataceae. The record is from RNAcentral.